Molecule: non-coding RNA, 110 nt
Filed under: Clostridium bornimense
Lineage: Bacteria; Bacillati; Bacillota; Clostridia; Eubacteriales; Clostridiaceae
Description: TPP sequence
Rfam family: TPP riboswitch aptamer (THI element)
About the family: Vitamin B(1) in its active form thiamin pyrophosphate (TPP) is an essential coenzyme that is synthesised by coupling of pyrimidine and thiazole moieties in bacteria. The previously detected thiamin-regulatory element, thi box was extended, resulting in a new, highly conserved RNA secondary structure, the THI element, which is widely distributed in eubacteria and also occurs in some archaea.
Source: Rfam by way of RNAcentral
CUGUGAAAAUAGGGGAGCUCACAAAUUAGUGGGCUGAGAGUAGGCUGAAGGCCUUGACCCUUAACCUGAUUUGGAUAAUGCCAACGUAGGAAUAUAUUAUGACGUACUUU